This 2786-nucleotide long non-coding RNA is filed under the name Helianthus annuus (common sunflower). Its description in RNAcentral is "hypothetical non coding rna". Lineage: Eukaryota; Viridiplantae; Streptophyta; Magnoliopsida; Asterales; Asteraceae. The record is from RNAcentral.
UUCGAUCUGGAAAACUAAGCGCGAUGCCGGAAAGCGAAUAUCCGGCGUGAUGAACAACGCUAUCGGUGUAAGUACGGACAGCGGCUCUGAAAAUGGCGCCGCCGGGAACUUCGGCGGCUUUGUUCAUCGCCGAUCGUAUCCAUGACAUCAACGCGGCGGUCUACCACCUCGAUUGGAAUGUGAACGGGCGAAAACUGAAUAUUCCGGUGAGAUUGGACGGAGGAUGGGGGCGGAGUACGGUGGCGGAAAUAUUUGCCGAUUGAAAAAUUAAGAAAAAUAAUAAAUCGAAAUUUGGUUGAACGUUUUGACCGUUCAUUACAUAGUUUAUUUCGGCUCAAAUCUGAUAUUUUAGGCUCACGAUUUGAAACGCAUCACCGACUGACUAUAAUUAGAGAAAGAUGGAAACAGGCGUGGAUUCCGGUCAGCUAGGGUUUCCUCUAUAACUGGUGGUGAUGGCUGAUGAUAAUAGAGAUGACGGUGGUGGUGGUUCUGGCUACGAUUAUAUGAUGAAUGUCGGUACAAUGUUAAAGGUUCAUAUGUAUUUUCUCCGCCGAUUUUGCGAAAGAUCAUCAGCUCAAGUAUCAUGGUUCUUCAGAGGUACAAGUUGGUCGGUGGUUAUUGUUGGUUUAGUACCUGAUAAAGCAAUGGAUCCCGACACCCCUACGUCUUCUGCAUUUGCUAGCUAUGGUAUUCAAUUGGCCGAGUAAGUACAUAAGUUCAUUUAAUUAUUUUUCUCGCGUCUUAUUUAUAGUUCUACAAAUGUUUUGUUUGUUUCCUAUGAAUAAUAUUUUUUUUCACAUGUAUAUGAUAACCAUAGGUCUUUUAAUUGCUCUCUGCUCAACAUUAAUGGGUUCACUUUUGCCUCACGUGAACAAUUGUUACUUUAUAUUAGAUGUCACUUAUGCAGUGCUUUAUAUUGAUUUGAUUAUUGGACUUACUGAGAUUUGUUUUGAACCGGGUCAUCAUGAGUAUAGGUUAAAAUGGGCCAAGUCUGACUUUCAACUUUUCAAUUAUUUCCAAUUAAUCCCUUGGUCAGUUCGCAAAUCCUGGCAUGUUCGUUAACCGUUUUAUGUUGGUGUUAUAAUAUAAAAUAUGGGUGAUUCUAUACACACACCCCUGUAAUCUUAUUUCGCAAGAUGGCGGUUCCGGAGCCUGCUUAAGCGUUGCAGAAUCUGCCGGUGUCGCCGCUUCGGCAGGCGAAGAAAAGUCGACGUGGACUGAGGUCUCGAAGCUCACAGUAUCGCGGUGUGACGUUUUAUCGGCGCACUGGUCGUUGGGAAUCACAUAUCUGAUACAAAGGUACAUAUCAUACUUAAGAAGUGGCUAUAAAGAUACUAAAAACUGAACGCUUAAACAAAGAUUUUGCAAAAAGUACUUGCCGAGGAAGUUUAUAUUUUGAUUUUUGAGGCAAGUCCGACAUACUAAUGUAGUGUAGUUUACACGAGCAUGUACCAAGCUUCCAAGUUUGUGCAUUGUAACAGUUGGAUUACUCUAAUAUGCCUAGAAGUCGAAAGGGUUCAUCAGGAGGUGGUGCUGAUUUGGAGUAUGUUCAUGCAGAUGCACGGGCUUCUGCCUACAGUUCGUUUGCAGCUGGAGCUGCAUUGAUUGCUGGUAUCUAUGGGCAAUUGGGUUUAAAAUGCAGCCUUUACUUUCUCUAAUUUUGAUUCACUUUUUAUUGAAUGGAUAAUCGGGUUACAUCUUUUCUCUAACAGGUCAAAUAGAAAGAUUUAGCUAAAGAUUAAAAAGAAAACUCAAAUGGUUCAAAUGGGCCAAAAGUCUCUCAAAGCUUAUUUAAUAGUGCACACAAUUUAGAUCGGCUUAUUAAUAUAGGCGAUUAUUUAUAAAGUCAACUGAUUUUGCCAAAAUGAGUUCAGUAUUUACACUAGGAGCACGUACUAGCGGCAUCACAGAUUGCUUUUGUAUUUCAAGUGGGUCAAAGAUGUGGCCUUCAUUUUUCAAUUGCAUCUGCGAGUCCACCACUCGCACUGGCAUCAACACAGAAGUAUUUUGAAUUGCUAGAUUACACUGACUUCUUGAGGAAAUAUAAGUUGUGGUCAAAAGAAGGUACCUUACCAAGAUUAAUGUAGCUUACAUUUAAUUGUUGUUUUUGAGCUGCAUAGGGAAUUUCGUAAGCUGCUUAUCGUAAUGUCUAAAAAUUUGCUUCGUCAAAAAGACUGCAAGUCGAAUUUAUCUGAGUUUUAUGAUGUUUAAGACUUCAAGGUCACUUGGCUUUGUUAAAUAAGGGACAAAUUUAAACGACUCACUAAGGACCAAAACGAUCAGUCGGAUCUUGAAGAAAGGAUUAGGUGUUUGGUGCUUUGCUCUGGAAAGAAAAAUCACUUACAAAGGUUCAAGUUGCCUGAGCGUGUAGUCUGCAUUGGUGGCUUUUUGCGAAUUGAGUUGUUAGCUCGGGUUCAGGUACAAGCAGCGGUCGGCAAAUACAAUAUAUGUUUGGCUCACAGUUUGACUCACAGUUUGGCUCACGUGCAAGUGAUAGGGCGCAAAUAAUCACCUGCAUUUAGUGUCGAAUUUUAUGAAUCAUCAAAAUGUAUAUCUCUGAAAUAUGAUGCUGAGGAAUUUGGACCUACAAUGAGAAGUGUUUCGAGUGAACGUGAUAGUUCGCUUAGCACACAAGUUUAGUACCCCUACAACCUCCUAAACAACUAGCUCUGGGGAACUUACAUGACUUUUUGCACAUGAUGGUAUUUUUCCGUAAUAAAGUUGUAUGUUUAUUUGUAAUAACAAGUUGGUGUAUGUUUAUUUUCUAUUAACAAGUUGGUGAUUUU